Molecule: ribosomal RNA, 2920 nt
Filed under: Bacillus cereus biovar anthracis str. CI
Lineage: Bacteria; Bacillati; Bacillota; Bacilli; Caryophanales; Bacillaceae
Description: bacterial LSU rRNA
Rfam family: Bacterial large subunit ribosomal RNA
Source: RNAcentral
UUAAGUUAGAAAGGGCGCACGGUGGAUGCCUUGACACUAGGAGUCGAUGAAGGACGGGACUAACGCCGAUAUGCUUCGGGGAGCUGUAAGUAAGCUUUGAUCCGAAGAUUUCCGAAUGGGGAAACCCACCAUACGUAAUGGUAUGGUAUCCUUAUCUGAAUACAUAGGGUAAGGAAGACAGACCCAGGGAACUGAAACAUCUAAGUACCUGGAGGAAGAGAAAGCAAAUGCGAUUUCCUGAGUAGCGGCGAGCGAAACGGAACAUAGCCCAAACCAAGAGGCUUGCCUCUUGGGGUUGUAGGACAUUCUAUACGGAGUUACAAAGGAACGAGGUAGACGAAGCGACCUGGAAAGGUCCGUCGUAGAGGGUAACAACCCCGUAGUCGAAACUUCGUUCUCUCUUGAAUGUAUCCUGAGUACGGCGGAACACGUGAAAUUCCGUCGGAAUCUGGGAGGACCAUCUCCCAAGGCUAAAUACUCCCUAGUGAUCGAUAGUGAACCAGUACCGUGAGGGAAAGGUGAAAAGCACCCCGGAAGGGGAGUGAAAGAGAUCCUGAAACCGUGUGCCUACAAAUAGUCAGAGCCCGUUAACGGGUGAUGGCGUGCCUUUUGUAGAAUGAACCGGCGAGUUACGAUCCCGUGCGAGGUUAAGCUGAAGAGGCGGAGCCGCAGCGAAAGCGAGUCUGAAUAGGGCGUUUAGUACGUGGUCGUAGACCCGAAACCAGGUGAUCUACCCAUGUCCAGGGUGAAGUUCAGGUAACACUGAAUGGAGGCCCGAACCCACGCACGUUGAAAAGUGCGGGGAUGAGGUGUGGGUAGCGGAGAAAUUCCAAUCGAACCUGGAGAUAGCUGGUUCUCCCCGAAAUAGCUUUAGGGCUAGCCUUAAGUGUAAGAGUCUUGGAGGUAGAGCACUGAUUGGACUAGGGGUCCUCAUCGGAUUACCGAAUUCAGUCAAACUCCGAAUGCCAAUGACUUAUCCUUAGGAGUCAGACUGCGAGUGAUAAGAUCCGUAGUCAAAAGGGAAACAGCCCAGACCGCCAGCUAAGGUCCCAAAGUGUGUAUUAAGUGGAAAAGGAUGUGGAGUUGCUUAGACAACUAGGAUGUUGGCUUAGAAGCAGCCACCAUUUAAAGAGUGCGUAAUAGCUCACUAGUCGAGUGACUCUGCGCCGAAAAUGUACCGGGGCUAAAUACACCACCGAAGCUGCGGAUUGAUACCAAUGGUAUCAGUGGUAGGGGAGCGUUCUAAGGACAGUGAAGUCAGACCGGAAGGACUGGUGGAGUGCUUAGAAGUGAGAAUGCCGGUAUGAGUAGCGAAAGACGGGUGAGAAUCCCGUCCAUCGAAUGCCUAAGGUUUCCUGAGGAAGGCUCGUCCGCUCAGGGUUAGUCAGGACCUAAGCCGAGGCCGACAGGCGUAGGCGAUGGACAACAGGUUGAUAUUCCUGUACCACCUCUUUAUCGUUUGAGCAAUGGAGGGACGCAGAAGGAUAGAAGAAGCAUGCGAUUGGUUGUGCACGUCCAAGCAGUUAGGCUGAUAAGUAGGCAAAUCCGCUUAUCGUAAAGGCUGAGCUGUGAUGGGGAAGCUCCUUAUGGAGCGAAGUCUUUGAUUCCCCGCUGCCAAGAAAAGCUUCUAGCGAGAUAAAAGGUGCCUGUACCGCAAACCGACACAGGUAGGCGAGGAGAGAAUCCUAAGGUGUGCGAGAGAACUCUGGUUAAGGAACUCGGCAAAAUGACCCCGUAACUUCGGGAGAAGGGGUGCUUUCUUAACGGAAAGCCGCAGUGAAUAGGCCCAAGCGACUGUUUAGCAAAAACACAGCUCUCUGCGAAGCCGUAAGGCGAAGUAUAGGGGGUGACACCUGCCCGGUGCUGGAAGGUUAAGGAGAGGGGUUAGCGUAAGCGAAGCUCUGAACUGAAGCCCCAGUAAACGGCGGCCGUAACUAUAACGGUCCUAAGGUAGCGAAAUUCCUUGUCGGGUAAGUUCCGACCCGCACGAAAGGUGUAACGAUUUGGGCACUGUCUCAACCAGAGACUCGGUGAAAUUAUAGUACCUGUGAAGAUGCAGGUUACCCGCGACAGGACGGAAAGACCCCGUGGAGCUUUACUGUAGCCUGAUAUUGAAUUUUGGUACAGUUUGUACAGGAUAGGCGGGAGCCUUUGAAACCGGAGCGCUAGCUUCGGUGGAGGCGCUGGUGGGAUACCGCCCUGACUGUAUUGAAAUUCUAACCUACGGGUCUUAUCGACCCGGGAGACAGUGUCAGGUGGGCAGUUUGACUGGGGCGGUCGCCUCCUAAAGUGUAACGGAGGCGCCCAAAGGUUCCCUCAGAAUGGUUGGAAAUCAUUCGUAGAGUGCAAAGGCAUAAGGGAGCUUGACUGCGAGACCUACAAGUCGAGCAGGGACGAAAGUCGGGCUUAGUGAUCCGGUGGUUCCGCAUGGAAGGGCCAUCGCUCAACGGAUAAAAGCUACCCCGGGGAUAACAGGCUUAUCUCCCCCAAGAGUCCACAUCGACGGGGAGGUUUGGCACCUCGAUGUCGGCUCAUCGCAUCCUGGGGCUGUAGUCGGUCCCAAGGGUUGGGCUGUUCGCCCAUUAAAGCGGUACGCGAGCUGGGUUCAGAACGUCGUGAGACAGUUCGGUCCCUAUCCGUCGUGGGCGUAGGAAAUUUGAGAGGAGCUGUCCUUAGUACGAGAGGACCGGGAUGGACGCACCGCUGGUGUACCAGUUGUUCUGCCAAGGGCAUAGCUGGGUAGCUAUGUGCGGAAGGGAUAAGUGCUGAAAGCAUCUAAGCAUGAAGCCCCCCUCAAGAUGAGAUUUCCCAUAGCGUAAGCUAGUAAGAUCCCUGAAAGAUGAUCAGGUUGAUAGGUUCGAGGUGGAAGCAUGGUGACAUGUGGAGCUGACGAAUACUAAUAGAUCGAGGACUUAACCAU